Molecule: ribosomal RNA, 775 nt
Filed under: uncultured Neocallimastigales
Lineage: Eukaryota; Fungi; Neocallimastigomycota; Neocallimastigomycetes; Neocallimastigales
Description: partial large subunit ribosomal RNA
Rfam family: Eukaryotic large subunit ribosomal RNA
Source: RNAcentral
UAUGUGAUCGUCUCUCGCAUAUCAAUAAGCGGAGGAAAAGAAACUAACAAGGAUUCCCCUAGUAACGGCGAGUGAAGCGGGAAGAGCUCAAAUUUGAAAUCUUAAAGGGUUUCCCUUUACGAAUUGUAGUUUAAAGAAGUGUUUUCUGUUGAGGUUUUGGUAAAAGUUCUUUGGAAUAGGACAUCAUAGAGGGUGAGAAUCCCGUAUUUGACCUUUACUUUCAACUUUGCUGAUACACUUUCAAAGAGUCGGAUUGUUUGGGAAUGCAGUCCAAAAUGGGUGGUAAAUUUCAUCUAAAGCUAAAUAUUGGCGAGAGACCGAUAGCGAACAAGUACCGUGAGGGAAAGAUGAAAAGAACUUUGAAAAGAGAGUUAAACAGUACGUGAAAUUGUCAAAAGGGAAGCGUUUGACACCAGUGUUGUUUUUCUGAAAAUCAAUUAAAGAACUGUUUAUGCUAAGUUGUUUAGACUUUAUCAGCUAACUGUUUAGUUUUGAGCUUUUCUUUAAUGCACUUUUCAGUUAACAAGUCAACAUCAAUUUCUUUUGCUGUAAAAAAGCUUGAGGAAGGUGGCUUGAGAUUCGUCUUAAGUGUUUAUAGCCUCUUGCCUAUGCAGUCGGAGAGAUUGAGGUCUGCAGCGUAGAUCCUUCGGGGCUAAAUGCAUUUGUGCUAAGUUAUAGCAUUUUAUAGACAACUUGUUGACUAUGAUUUGUCUUGUAGCUUACUCGCUUAUGUUAUUUUACCUACGCUUAGGAUGUUGAGUAGCGACAUACGCAC